UACGUAGGUGGCAAGCGUUGUCCGGAUUUAUUGGGUUUAAAGGGUGCGUAGGCGGUUUUUUAAGUCAGUGGUGAAAUACUUCAGCUUAACUGGAGAGGUGCCAUUGAUACUGGGAAACUUGAGUACUGAUGAGGUAGGCGGAAUGGACGGUGUAGCGGUGAAAUGCUUAGAUAUCGUCCAGAACACCGAUAGCGAAGGCAGCUUACUAAGGAGUAACUGACGCUGAGGCACGAAAGUGUGGGGAUCAAACAGG
Molecule: ribosomal RNA, 253 nt
Filed under: uncultured bacterium
Lineage: Bacteria
Description: partial 16S ribosomal RNA
Rfam family: Bacterial small subunit ribosomal RNA
Source: RNAcentral